GACGAACGCUGGCGGCGUGCCUAACACAUGCAAGUCGAACGGGGUGAUCCUUCGGGGUCACUUAGUGGCGAACGGGUGAGUAACGCGUGAGAAACCUGCCUCUCAGUGGGGGACAACAGUUGGAAACGACUGCUAAUACCGCAUAAUGUAUCCGGAGGGCAUCCUUUGGAUACCAAAGCUUUAUGUGCUGAGAGAUGGUCUCGCGUCUGAUUAGCUAGUUGGCGGGGUAACGGCCCACCAAGGCGACGAUCAGUAGCCGGUCUGAGAGGAUGAACGGCCACAUUGGGACUGAGAUACGGCCCAGACUCCUACGGGAGGCAGCAGUGGGGAAUAUUGGUCAAUGGUCUGACGACUGAACCAGCCAUGCCGCGUGAAGGUCACGGCCCUAUGGGUCUUAAACUUCUUUUGUAAGGGAGCAAUAAGUCUCACGUGUGGGAUGAUGAGAGUACCUUACGAAUAAGCAUCGGCUAACUCCGUGCCAGCAGCC
This 487-nucleotide ribosomal RNA is filed under the name uncultured bacterium. RNAcentral's name for it is "bacterial SSU rRNA". It matches the Rfam family "Bacterial small subunit ribosomal RNA", at positions 28 to 516 of the family's 1533-position model. The record is from RNAcentral.